RNAcentral lists this ribosomal RNA (409 nucleotides) under uncultured bacterium. RNAcentral's name for it is "partial 16S ribosomal RNA". It matches the Rfam family "Bacterial small subunit ribosomal RNA", at positions 355 to 762 of the family's 1533-position model. The record is from RNAcentral.
UGGGGAAUAUUGCACAAUGGGCGCAAGCCUGAUGAGCCAAUGCCGCGUGUGUGAAGAAGGCCUCGGGUUGUAAAGCACUUUCAGCGAGGAGGAAGUGGUGAGCUUAAUACGCUCAUCAAUUGACGUUACUCGCAGAAGAAGCACCGGCUAACUCCGUGCCAGAGCCGCGGUAAUACGGAGGGUGCAAGCGUAAUCGGAUUACUGGGCGUAAAGCGCACGCAGGCGGUUUGUUAAGUCAGAUGUGAAAUCCCCGGGCUCAACCUGGGAACUGCAUUUGAAACUGGCAAGCUAGAGUCUCGUAGAGGGGGUAGAAUUCCAGGUGUAGCGGUGAAAUGCGUAGAGAUCUGGAGGAAUACCGGUGGCGAAGGCGGCCCCCUGGACGAAGACUGACGCUCAGGUGCGAAAGCGU